GUCCACGCCGUAAACGAUGGAUACUAGCUGUUGGGAGCAAUCUCAGUGGCUAAGCGAAAGUGAUAAGUAUCCCACCUGGGAGUACGUUCGCAAGAAUGAAACUCAAAGGAAUUGACGGGGCCCGCACAAGCGGUGGAGCAUGUGGUUUAAUUCGAUGAUACGCGAGGAACCUUACCAAGGCUUAAAUGUAGUUUGACCGUUUUGGAAACAGAACUUUCGCAAGACAAAUUACAAGGUGCUGCAUGGUUGUCGU
RNAcentral lists this ribosomal RNA (253 nucleotides) under uncultured bacterium. RNAcentral's name for it is "partial 16S ribosomal RNA". It matches the Rfam family "Bacterial small subunit ribosomal RNA", at positions 793 to 1055 of the family's 1533-position model. The record is from RNAcentral.